GCGGCGGCUACACAUGCAGUCGAGCGGAACGAGUUAUCUGAGCCUUCGGGGGACGAUAACGGCGUCGAGCGGCGGACGGGUGAGUAAUGCCUAGGAAAUUGCCCUGAUGUGGGGGAUAACCAUUGGAAACGAUGGCUAAUACCGCAUAAUGCCUACGGGCCAAAGAGGGGGACCUUCGGGCCUCUCGCGUCAGGAUAUGCCUAGGUGGGAUUAGCUAGUUGGUGAGGUAAGGGCUCACCAAGGCAACGAUCCCUAGCUGGUCUGAGAGGAUGAUCAGCCACACUGGAACUGAGACACGGUCCAGACUCCUACGGGAGGCAGCAGUGGGGAAUAUUGCACAAUGGGCGCAAGCCUGAUGCAGCCAUGCCGCGUGUGUGAAGAAGGCCUUCGGGUUGUAAAGCACUUUCAGUCGUGAGGAAGAUGGUAGUGUUAAUAGCACUAUCAUUUGACGUUAGCGACAGAAGAAGCACCGGCUAACUCCGUGCCAGCAGCCGCGGUAAUACGGAGGGUGCGAGCGUUAAUCGGAAUUACUGGGCGUAAAGCGCAUGCAGGUGGUUUGUUAAGUCAGAUGUGAAAGCCCGGGGCUCAACCUCGGAAUAGCAUUUGAAACUGGCAGACUAGAGUACUGUAGAGGGGGGGUAGAAUUUCAGGUGUAGCGGUGAAAUGCGUAGAGAUCUGAAGGAAUACCGGUGGCGAAGGCGGCCCCCUGGACAGAUACUGACACUCAGAUGCGAAAGCGUGGGGGAGCAAACAGGAUUAGAUACCCUGGUAGUCCACGCCGUAAACGAUGUCU
This 793-nucleotide ribosomal RNA is filed under the name uncultured bacterium. Its description in RNAcentral is "bacterial SSU rRNA". It matches the Rfam family "Bacterial small subunit ribosomal RNA", at positions 39 to 814 of the family's 1533-position model. The record is from RNAcentral.